Molecule: ribosomal RNA, 468 nt
Filed under: uncultured bacterium
Lineage: Bacteria
Description: partial 16S ribosomal RNA
Rfam family: Bacterial small subunit ribosomal RNA
Source: RNAcentral
GACGAACGCUGGCGGCGUGCUUAACACAUGCAAGUCGAACGGAAAGGCCCUGCUUUUGCGGGGUGCUCGAGUGGCGAACGGGUGAGUAACACGGGAGUAACCUGCCCUUGACUUUGGGAUAACUUCAGGAAACUGGGGCUAAUACAGGAUAGGAGCUCCUGCAGCAUGGGGGGGGUUGGAACGUUUCGGCGGUUGGGGCUGGACUCGCGGGUUAUCAGCUGGUGGGUGGGGUAGUGGCUUACCAAGGCUUUGACGGGUAGCCGGCCUGGGAGGGUGGACAGGCUCAAUGGGACUGCGGGACGGCCCAGUCUGCUAUGGGGGGCAACAGUGGGGAGUAUUGUCCAGCGGGCGGGCGCGUGAUACGAAGGCGCUGCGUGCGGGAUGACGGCCUUCGGGUUAUGAACCGCUUUCGCCUGUGACGAAGCGGGAGUGACGUUAAUGGGUAAAGAAGCACCGGCUAACUACGUG